UACGAAGGGGGCUAGCGUUGCUCGGAAUCACUGGGCGUAAAGCGCACGUAGGCGGAUCUUUAAGUCAGAGGUGAGAUCCCAAGGCUCAACCUUGGAACUGCCUUUGAUACUGGGGAUCUCGAGUCCGGAAGAGGUGAGUGGAACUGCGAGUGUAGAGGUGAAAUUCGUAGAUAUUCGCAAGAACACCAGUGGCGAAGGCGGCUCACUGGUCCGGUACUGACGCUGAGGUGCGAAAGCGUGGGGAGCGAACAGG
RNAcentral lists this ribosomal RNA (253 nucleotides) under uncultured bacterium. RNAcentral describes it as "partial 16S ribosomal RNA". It matches the Rfam family "Bacterial small subunit ribosomal RNA", at positions 524 to 776 of the family's 1533-position model. The record is from RNAcentral.